RNAcentral lists this ribosomal RNA (252 nucleotides) under uncultured bacterium. Its description in RNAcentral is "partial 16S ribosomal RNA". It matches the Rfam family "Bacterial small subunit ribosomal RNA", at positions 524 to 776 of the family's 1533-position model. The record is from RNAcentral.
UACGUAGGAUGCGAGCGUUAUCCGGAUUUAUUGGGUUUAAAGGGUGCGUAGGCGGGCUUUUAAGUCAGCGGUAAAAAUUCGGGGCUCAACCCCGUCCGGCCGUUGAAACUGGGGGCCUUGAGUGGGCGAGAAGAGGGCGGAAUGCGUGGUGUAGCGGUGAAAUGCAUAGAUAUCACGCAGAAUCCCGAUUGCGAAGGCAGCCUUCCGGCGCCCUACUGACGCUGAGGCACGAAAGUGCGGGGAUCGAACAGG